Molecule: ribosomal RNA, 253 nt
Filed under: uncultured bacterium
Lineage: Bacteria
Description: partial 16S ribosomal RNA
Rfam family: Bacterial small subunit ribosomal RNA
Source: RNAcentral
UACGGAGGGUGCAAGCGUUAAUCGGAAUUACUGGGCGUAAAGCGCGCGUAGGCGGUUGAGUGAGUCAGAUGUGAAAGCCCCGGGCUCAACCUGGGAAUGGCAUUUGAUACUGCUUAGCUAGAGUCUGACAGAGGGUGGCGGAAUUCCGGGUGUAGCGGUGAAAUGCGUAGAUAUCCGGAGGAACACCGGUGGCGAAGGCGGCCACCUGGGUCAAGACUGACGCUGAGGUGCGAAAGCGUGGGGAGCAAACAGG